Mastomys coucha (southern multimammate mouse) is the source of this 252-nucleotide long non-coding RNA. RefSeq lists it as uncharacterized. The transcript has 2 exons. The record is from RefSeq and is a predicted model, not a curated record. Lineage: Eukaryota; Metazoa; Chordata; Mammalia; Rodentia; Muridae.
CAUAGAAAAUUUCAUAUUUUUCUGGUGUUAUAUCAGCAAGUUUUAUGUCAAUUACAAACAAGCUGUAGUCUUUUGGAAAGAAGGAACAUCAAUUGAAAUAAUUGCCCUAUCAGACUGGCCUGUGCUCUGCAAGCCCAUCAGAAUCCGCAGAAAUGACUAUGGAAUGGGAGAAAAAGAAGAGCCCAUCAAACAGGCUUCCAUCUGCUUCCAUCCCCAAAGUUCAACUUUUAUUAUAAACUAUGCAACUGAAAA